CUGGCUCAGGACGAACGCUGGCGGCGUGCUUAACACAUGCAAGUCGAACGAGA
RNAcentral lists this ribosomal RNA (53 nucleotides) under Megasphaera cerevisiae DSM 20462. RNAcentral's name for it is "16S rRNA. Bacterial SSU". The record is from RNAcentral. Lineage: Bacteria; Bacillati; Bacillota; Negativicutes; Veillonellales; Veillonellaceae.